Molecule: ribosomal RNA, 253 nt
Filed under: uncultured microorganism
Description: partial 16S ribosomal RNA
Rfam family: Bacterial small subunit ribosomal RNA
Source: RNAcentral
UACGUAGGGUGCGAGCGUUAAUCGGAUUUACUGGGCGUAAAGCGUGCGCAGGCGGCCCGUUAAGACAGGUGUGAAAUCCCUGGGCUCAACCUAGGAAUUGCGCUUGUGACUGGCGGGCUCGAGUACGGUAGAGGGGGGUGGAAUUCCUGGUGUAGCAGUGAAAUGCGUAGAGAUCAUGAGGAACACCGAUGGCGAAGGCAGCCCCCUGGGCCUGUACUGACGCUCAUGCACGAAAGCGUGGGGAGCAAACAGG